CAGCAGUGAUGAGCUCUUUUAUCCCGAAGCUGAUCAUCUAUUGAUGGAACAACCUUUUACAGAUCUGACUACUGAGUU
This is a small nucleolar RNA of Thunnus maccoyii (southern bluefin tuna), 78 nucleotides long. RefSeq annotates it as small nucleolar RNA SNORD50. The record is from RefSeq and is a predicted model, not a curated record. The transcript has a single exon. Lineage: Eukaryota; Metazoa; Chordata; Actinopteri; Scombriformes; Scombridae.